RNAcentral lists this transfer RNA (75 nucleotides) under bacterium. RNAcentral's name for it is "tRNA-Arg". It matches the Rfam family "tRNA". From Rfam's summary of the family: Transfer RNA (tRNA) molecules are approximately 80 nucleotides in length. Their secondary structure includes four short double-helical elements and three loops (D, anti-codon, and T loops). Further hydrogen bonds mediate the characteristic L-shaped molecular structure. tRNAs have two regions of fundamental functional importance: the anti-codon, which is responsible for specific mRNA codon recognition, and the 3' end, to which the tRNAs corresponding amino acid is attached (by aminoacyl-tRNA synthetases). tRNAs cope with the degeneracy of the genetic code in two manners: having more than one tRNA (with a specific anti-codon) for a particular amino acid; and 'wobble' base-pairing, i.e. permitting non-standard base-pairing at the 3rd anti-codon position. The record is from RNAcentral. RNAcentral also lists the same sequence under 1 other name.
GCUCCCGUGGUGAAAUGGAUAUCACAGCGGUCUUCGGAACCGUCGUUGGGGGUUCGAAUCCCUCCGGGAGCACCA